Molecule: long non-coding RNA, 516 nt
Organism: Epinephelus moara (kelp grouper)
Lineage: Eukaryota; Metazoa; Chordata; Actinopteri; Perciformes; Serranidae
Exons: 3
Source: RefSeq, a predicted model, not a curated record
UAUCUUAUACUUUCAAUAUUCGGGGAGAGAUACGAGCCACCCCUCCCUUGUUGGACUGAUCCUCGUUUUUGGUGAAAUCUGAUUGGCUCAGUCGUUUCCCACCUGUGUGACGUUUCUCAUUGUAAAGGUAAUGAGCGACAAUGGAGAAAAGACAGAAGACAGGAGCUGGAACAGAAAUGUGUAGUGCAGAAAAAUUACGAGCUAAAAAGUGACCACUAAAUGCACCAUCUGACAGAUCUCCUCCGUGGUGUGCUGCGCUGCUCCGAGGCUCACAGUGGUGUCAGCAUGUGCAACUUAAAGCCGAAGAGAAGAGGAGAGAAGAGGAGAGAAGAGACAUCUGGGUCAACAUCCAGUGGAGAGAGCUGAAUCAUCAACAUCAAAGACUAAAACCUGGUACAUUAUGUGUGCCAGUGCUGCUGGCUGUAGUGCUGCUCAUUGAUCGGCUGCUUUCUCUUGAAAAAAGUGAUUCCUCUGGUCGAGUGUCAGGAGACAUGAGUGUGCUUAAACCUUCAGGUC